This 1333-nucleotide long non-coding RNA is filed under the name Prunus dulcis (almond). RNAcentral's name for it is "sRNA ncRNA". The record is from RNAcentral. Lineage: Eukaryota; Viridiplantae; Streptophyta; Magnoliopsida; Rosales; Rosaceae.
CUCGGGCCCUCAGAGUCCCGAACGCGAGUGAGAGCAGAUCUGAGAAAAUGAGAGAUGUGAAACACAGAGAAGGUCUGGAAACCCUAACAAUGCCAUUGUCUCUGUGAUCGGAGCCUUCGCUGUAGAUCAGAGACAUGAGCGUGAAGAAAGAGAGAGACGACGGGGCAUGAAGAAAAGCUCCUCCAAUGCGAUUCUUGUUUUGCGAGGUUUAACGCCUCGAUGGCCGCCAUUGAUCCACGAUCGGAUCUGUUCAAGAGCUCACUGUUGAAAUCGCGUAGUAAUUAACACCAAGACCAGAGAUCUGAUGGGGCUAGGUAUGGGGGUUCCAGGACCCGUCAAAGUUGAUUUUGAAAUUUAGGGUUUACUUAGGUUUAUGGCUUACGGAGAUCAUUGUUUUUUAUUUGAUGGAGCGACAUGCCUAGGGAAUUAAUUAGUAGGUCGGUCUUUAAUUCAAUGCAUUAAUGCGUUCGCUGUUUGCUUCCAUUCCAGGUACAUUCCAUGUCAGCUUGCUCAAGAUGCGAAAGAGUGCGAUGUGGAUUGAUAGGCACUGACAGUGGGCCUUCCUUUAUCUUUAAGGUUUUACUCCUUUCUCAUUCAAGCAUGUGGAUGUAUGUUUUUCUUUUGUAAGAUAUCAUUUUUUUGUUUUUAAAUGGAAACAAAAUGAACAAAAUAAGUUUCCAGAGGUAAAUAGCAUAGUAUUGUUGAAAACUUGAACGAUAUAUCUGACAAAAAACAAAAUUGGCACACAUUAUGGGAGCGCUUUGAAAUAGCAUAUUUUUGUUGAAUGAUAUAUUCUGAUAUGAGGGAGUGGGGUUUGGUACCUUACAUAUGGAAUCGGGAACAUUGUGACAUUACAUUAGUGAUACACGGUGGCGUAGUGAAUUUAAAAGUAAGCAUUUGUAGCAAUAUCGGAUGGUCUAAUAACCAUGCAUAACUAGACUGUUCAACAACUUGAUGUUCCGACAAAAAGAGAUCAGAUGAUGGGGUUUCUCUAACUUUCAAUGUAACAUGAGGUUAAAGACAUUAGAAAGUGAAAAAUCAUAAAUGGGUUAGUGCAUUAUUCAAAUAUUGUCGUACACAAUGUUCUAGGCAAUGUCAGUAAUCUGAGUGUUUUAAUUAGACCCUCCCCUUCUCAACUUUUCAAGUUAGGAUGAGAUUGCAAGGAGUCUCAGAAGUUCUCAGUAUUUUCUUUUGCAUCUAUGCACCCAAGCAAUGUUUAUAGGUUAUUACCAUGGAAAUAAAAUUUGAAGCAGUAAAUUUCAUAGAACUAAAAUUUAUCUGCCCACAUUGUCAAAUAUAUAUCGAUGAUAGAUUGGCAGUUAUAAAUUUAGAA